Molecule: ribosomal RNA, 738 nt
Filed under: uncultured bacterium
Lineage: Bacteria
Description: bacterial SSU rRNA
Rfam family: Bacterial small subunit ribosomal RNA
Source: RNAcentral
AGAGUUUGAUCAUGGCUCAGAACGAACGCUGGCGGCAGGCUUAACACAUGCAAGUCGAGCGCCCCGCAAGGGGAGCGGCAGACGGGUGAGUAACGCGUGGGAACGUACCAUUUGCUACGGAAUAACUCAGGGAAACUUGUGCUAAUACCGUAUGAGCCCGAAAGGGGAAAGAUUUAUCGGCAAAUGAUCGGCCCGCGUUGGAUUAGCUAGUUGGUGGGGUAAAGGCCUACCAAGGCGACGAUCCAUAGCUGGUCUGAGAGGAUGAUCAGCCACACUGGGACUGAGACACGGCCCAGACUCCUACGGGAGGCAGCAGUGGGGAAUAUUGGACAAUGGGCGCAAGCCUGAUCCAGCCAUGCCGCGUGAGUGAUGAAGGCCCUAGGGUUGUAAAGCUCUUUCACCGGUGAAGAUAAUGACGGUAACCGGAGAAGAAGCCCCGGCUACUUCGUGCCAGCAGCCGCGGUAAUACGAAGGGGGCUAGCGUUGUUCGGAUUUACUGGGCGUAAAGCGCACGUAGGCGGGCUAAUAAGUCAGGGGUGAAAUCCCGGGGCUCAACCCCGGAACUGCCUUUGAUACUGUUAGUCUUGAGUAUGGUAGAGGUGAGUGGAAUUCCGAGUGUAGAGGUGAAAUUCGUAGAUAUUCGGAGGAACACCAGUGGCGAAGGCGGCUCACUGGACCAUUACUGACGCUGAGGUGCGAAAGCGUGGGGAGAAACAGGAUUAGAUACCCNNGUAGUCC